Molecule: non-coding RNA, 71 nt
Organism: Thalassophryne amazonica
Lineage: Eukaryota; Metazoa; Chordata; Actinopteri; Batrachoidiformes; Batrachoididae
Source: the annotation of a RefSeq genome assembly
GGCUCUAGCUCAGUGGAUAGAGCACUGGUCUCGUAAACCAGGGGUCGUAAGUUCAAAUCUCACCAGAGCCU